UACGGAGGUGGCAAGCGUUGCUCGGAAUUACUGGGCGUAAAGGGCGUGUAGGCGGAUUGGCAAGUCAAGCGUGAAAUCCCCCGGCUCAACCGGGGAAUUGCGUUCGAAACUGCCUCUCUUGAGUGUGGAAGGGGAGAGUGGAACUCCUGGUGGAGCGGUGAAAUGCGUAGAUAUCAGGAGGAACACCAAUGGCGAAGGCAGCUUACUGGACAAUAACUGACGCUGAGGCACGAAAGCGUGGGUAGCGAAAGGG
This 253-nucleotide ribosomal RNA is filed under the name uncultured bacterium. RNAcentral's name for it is "partial 16S ribosomal RNA". It matches the Rfam family "Bacterial small subunit ribosomal RNA", at positions 524 to 776 of the family's 1533-position model. The record is from RNAcentral.